UCAGCUAGUUUUCUGCUCUCUUCUUCAAUGUGAGCUGACUUGGUUUGCAGUUCCUUGAGAGAAUUCUGCAAUAAAGGUUUCUCGGCAGCCUCAGCCUUGAGAUUUUCAACCUCAGAUUUUAAAGCAACUUCUCCUGCUUUUUGUUCCUUGAGCUGUUCUUCAAGGUUGGAUAUCACUUGCUGGAGUUCAUUCUUAGUAUUUUGAUGCACUUCAUCAAGCAGGCGGUUCUCAUCCAUAAGCGAAGAUAUCUGUAGCAAACAGAUGUAGCUAAUAACCAUAAGGCAACAAUAUUUAGCCGCAAAAUAAUUAAAAAAAUAGUUUGGUGCAAACCUGAGAUUGUAGUUUCUGCCCUUCAGAAGAAUGCUGCUGCGUUAAAUCUUCAAUAGUCCUUUUUGCAGCCUGAAGUUGUUCAACUGAUCCGUCCUUCUCAGCAACGGCAGUGGAAUAUUUUGCUUCAAGGUCACUUAGUUUGGACUCGUAUGUAGACGCAUCUUCUUUAAGCUUUAUAUUUGCCUCAGCUAGUUUUCUGCUCUCUUCUUCAAAGUGAGCUGACUUGGUUUGCAGUUCCUUGAGAGAAUUCUGCAACAAAGGUUUCUCAGCAACCUCAGACUUGAGAUUUUCAACCUCAGAUUUUAAAGCAACUUCUCCUGCUUUUUGUUCCUUGAGCUGUUCUUCAAGGUUGGAUAUCACUUGCUGGAGUUCCUUCUUAGUAUUUUGAUGCACUUCAUCAAGCAGGCGGUUCUCACCCAUAAGCGAAAAUAUCUGUAGCAAACAGAUGUAGCUAAUAACCAUAAGGCAACAAUAUUUAGCCGCAAAAUAAUUAAAAAAAAGUUUGGUGCAAACCUGAGAUUGUAGUUUCUGCCAUUUAGAAGAAUGCUGCUGCGUUAAAUCUUCAAUAGUCCUUUUUGCAGCCUGAAGUUGUUCAACUGAUCUGUCCUUCUCAGCAACGGCAGUGGAAUAUUUUGCUUCAAGGUCACUUAGUUUGGACUCGUAUGUAGACACAUCUUCUUUAAGCUUUAUAUUUGCCUCAGCUAGUUUUCUGCUCUCUUCUUCAAAGUGAGCUGACUUGGUUUGCAGUUCCUUGAGAGAAUUCUGCAAUAAAGGUUUCUCAGCAGCCUCAGACUUGAGAUUUUCAACCUCAGAUUUUAAAGCAACUUCUCCUGCUUUUUGUUCCUUGAGCUGUUCUUCAAGGUUGGAUAUCACUUGUUGGAGUUCCUUCUUAGUAUUUUGAUGCACUUCAUCAAGCAGGCGGAUCUCAUCCAUAAGCGAAGAUAUC
RNAcentral lists this long non-coding RNA (1276 nucleotides) under Malus domestica (apple). RNAcentral's name for it is "long non-coding RNA (MDOM_LNC008030)". Lineage: Eukaryota; Viridiplantae; Streptophyta; Magnoliopsida; Rosales; Rosaceae. The record is from RNAcentral.